UCAGCCGCCAUAGGAUGGGUCUGCGGCCGAUUAGGUUGUUGUUGGGGUAACGGCCCAACAAGCCUGUAAUCGGUACGGGUUGUGGGAGCAAGAGCCCGGAGAUGGAUUCUGAGACACGAAUCCAGGCCCUACGGGGCGCAGCAGGCGCGAAAACUUUACAAUGCGGGAAACCGUGAUAAGGGAACUCCGAGUGCCCGUAAAAUCGGGCUGUCCAUCUGUUUAAAUAACAGGUGAAGAAAGGGCCGGGCAAGACCGGUGCCAGCCGCCGCGGUAAUACCGGCGGCUCGAGUGGUGGCCACUAUUACUGGGCUUAAAGCGUUCGUAGCUGGUCUGUUAAGUCUCUGGGGAAAUCUACUGGCUUAACCAAUAGGCGUCUCAGGGAUACUGGCAGACUAGGGACCGGGAGAGGUGAGAGGUACUUCAGGGGUAGGAGUGAAAUCCUGUAAUCCUUGGGGGACCACCUGUGGCGAAGGCGUCUCACCAGAACGGCUCCGACAGUGAGGGACGAAAGCUGGGGGAGCAAACCGGAUUAGAUACCCGGGUAGUCCCAGCUGUAAACGAUGCGCGUUAGGUGUAUCGGUGACCACGAGUCACCGAGGUGCCGAAGAGAAAUCGUGAAACGUGCCGCCUGGGAAGUACGGUCGCAAGGCUGAAACUUAAAGGAAUUGGCGGGGGAGCAC
Molecule: ribosomal RNA, 680 nt
Filed under: uncultured Methanomicrobiales archaeon
Lineage: Archaea; Methanobacteriati; Methanobacteriota; Methanomicrobia; Methanomicrobiales
Description: bacterial SSU rRNA
Rfam family: Archaeal small subunit ribosomal RNA
Source: RNAcentral